Molecule: long non-coding RNA, 2706 nt
Filed under: Olea europaea (common olive)
Lineage: Eukaryota; Viridiplantae; Streptophyta; Magnoliopsida; Lamiales; Oleaceae
Description: long non-coding RNA (OEUR_LNC005726)
Source: RNAcentral
UUCAAAACUCCGGGAUUCCAUUGUACAUUAUGGAAAGUUCAAAGUUUGAGGUGGAUUGUUUCGACGGAAAAAAAUAAUUUCAGUAUUUGAUGUAGAAUAUUCAAAGAUGUUUUGAUGCAACAAGACCUUUACAAGGCGUUACAUUGUAAGACGUCAAAGGGUCGAAGGACACAACAUGGGAAGAACGGGAAAUGAAGACAACGGGUACCAUCAGGAUCGUUCUUGCUCUCGAGGUAAAGUAUAAUAUUCAUAAAGAUAAAUCUCCUUUUAAGUUAUGAAAAAUGUUAGAAGAGUUGUAUAUGUCUUACUAAAAGUUUGAGAUCAUCUGAAUAAAUUUAAUAAUAUGUGGGUGAUUGAAUUGUUAAAUGUUGCUCUUAAGAUUGAGGACGAGGAAAAGACGACAAUAUCGAUGUCUUCCUUGUCGAAGACAUAUGAGACCAUGGUACCCUUGCUACUAGUUGAAAGACCAACUUGACUGUGAAUGACUCUACUGCUUUAUUAGAGACAUGCAAUAUCAAGAAGCCCAGUGGUAUUUGUCAUGUUGAUCAAGUUCUCAUGGCAAAGUCUAAAAUGUGUGUUAAUGGUGAUCUGAGAGGAUAUAAUUACGCUUGGAGGGAAGAUUGAUCUCAUUCUCAUUUCAAGUUAGAUGCUGAGUGUUACUAUUAUAUUAGGAUAAAUUGUUAAAAGUUGUAGAAGCUAAGAACAGUGGAGAGUCUUACGAGGCCUUCGAUGAUAUGAAUGUGGCGGAUGAUGAAAGGAGAUGAUCUCUACUUUGUCUUGUAUUAUGAUUCUCUCUGUGGUUAUUAGAUUAUGGAAUAUUCUAGAUGUUCAUAUCGUAUGUACCGCACAAAGAGUGGUCUGAGGAUUAUAAACCACGUGAUGUGCAUAAAGUUAUAAUGAUCGAUAACCAAAAAUUGAUGGAAUUGAAUGUUUGAAUUAUGAGUAUUCUAUUUAUGUUUGAAUUGGAUUGAUGAACAUGAGGAAAGAUAUUGGGGAGAUAGAUUGAAAGGUAAAACUGUACAAGCUUAUAGGGAAGACAAUUUGGGUGAAGUUAUUGCAACAGUCACGCCAAGGUGCAACUGUGGUAAUGGAGUCAUAUCGAGGUAAAAUUGUCUUGAUCAAACUGCACUGUAAAACGUGCUUGCAUGCUUUUAACGAAAUUCCAAAUUGUAAAACUUACUUGAAAUCACCGAAACAAGGUUCAAUCACUUGCCUUUUCUUUGCUUGGCUUCCAGACCGUCUUGUACCGGCUUCUUGGUUAAAAACUCGAUCACCAAGGAAGAAGUUGGAUGUUCACAAUCCAAGAACCAGCUUUGAGAUGUUAUAUUUCCAAAAUCAAGCCUUUUCACUCAUGUAUAUUCCUUCUCCUCUUUAUACCCGAAUUUUGUAUGUAUCUUUCAUGUAAAAAUGGAGUAACGAAAGUUGCAUAGGAGUUAUUGAUGGUGGGGAGGUUAAUUUUCAAACUCAAAAACUCAACUCCUCCCUCCAUUUGUUUUUAUGCAAUUCGGGUCAGAUUAGUCCACAUGAGUUAAUUAUUUCAUAAGAAUAGACCGAUGAAUGAAAUAAGCCUAACAACUAACUCCAUGAGCUACACUCGUUCCAAUUGCAUUCCCUCUUGGAUGGUUUGAAUCUUGGCCCGUUUAAGCCCCUUAAAGGUCCAACGAAAAGCAUAACCCUUGAGUAUAUAUAAGGAUAUAUAACCCUAGCCACUUUCUUGCAUGAUUUGUGUGGUUUUGUGAGAAAAAUAGAGGAAUUCCCUUUGGUGUGUGUAAAACAACACCUAGAAGUGUCCAAAACGAUUGUUUACUUUGUGUAAUUGGUGGUUCCUUCAUAGUAUACCUUUGUGGUGUCUUCUCUUAGCUUUUGUGGCCACAAAUCAUGACUUUUUCUUGUCUUACGUGAGUAAGAUUGAAUAGCAAUCGAGGUGAAUUAUAUUGGUUGUGGUUUGGAGCCAAUUAGAUUGAUUGUUGGUAGAAAAAUGUAAGUUGAACUGAGCUCGAAAAUCACCGAUUUAAAUAUCUUUGAAGAGAGCUUCCGCAACAUCUUAGUAAUAAAAGUUUCAUUUGAAUUCCAGUAGCCAUAUAUUAUUUUCCUUUUUAUACUUUGAAACUUGUGCAUAGUUGAAAUACAUCAUCAACCUUUAAAAUCUAACUUUGAGUCUCCAUUAUUUAGUUCCAUUUGCAUAAUUUGUUCUUUUUACAUAUUUAGAAUGUGUAAUGUGAUUGGGAAUCUUUUUAUAAUGUGCUUCAAUCCGUAGUCAAACGAGAAGAUUGUUAGGAAUAUAACCCUUCAGGCUAAUUUUUGUUUCUUCACAUUGAGACUUUUCUUGAUUCAAUAAAAAACAUGACUUAUUUAUUCAUACCAUGCAAUUUUUUGAGCUUUGUAGGACCUACACUUUCUGGGAAAUUAUAACUUCACGAACGGUUUAUGUCUAGAAGAUAUAAUCCCAAUGUUGAGACGUUCCGCCUUCGAUAUUGAAGUCAAUCCCAUCCAAAACAGCAUUCCGAGAGGGCGAGACGAGGAUUUCCCACCCAAGAAGUUGUUCCAAAGGUAAGUUGCCAAAUCCCUUGCAUCCCUGAGUCGAGGCGAGGAUAUACCCUCUGGCCCCUCCUCCGAUCGAAAGUAUCACUUUGAUUCCUUUGGCUUGACAUGAUUUUAUUUUGGAACUCAAUCCAGCACAAACAUUGCUGUAUGGAUCGCAGUGUC